GUCAGGCAUGGUGGCACAUGCCUGUAAUCUUAGCAGCUUGGGAGGCUGAGGUAGGAGGAUCGCUAGUUCAAAGCCAGCCUCAGCAAAAGCAAGGUGCUGAGCAACUCAGUGAGACCCCGUCUCUG
Molecule: small RNA, 125 nt
Filed under: Marmota monax (woodchuck)
Lineage: Eukaryota; Metazoa; Chordata; Mammalia; Rodentia; Sciuridae
Source: RNAcentral